Long non-coding RNA from Peromyscus californicus insignis, 1395 nucleotides. RefSeq lists it as uncharacterized. Lineage: Eukaryota; Metazoa; Chordata; Mammalia; Rodentia; Cricetidae. The record is from RefSeq and is a predicted model, not a curated record. The transcript has 4 exons.
AUAAAUCAACAAGAGGGUUGACCAGAUGGCUCAGUGGCUAAAGCACUUUUUAUGCAAGUCUGAAAACCUGACUUCAAUCCCAGGAACCCAUGUAAAAAUCUUAGAGUACUCAGCUUAGCAGAAACAACCAGAGGGACCUUGCCUCCAAAACAAUGUGGAGAGGCUGGAGAGAUGGCUCAGUAGUUAAGAGCACGUACUGCUCUUCAAGAGGACCUGAGUUCGACUCCCAGCAAUGCAUGUCAGGUGGCUCACAACCACUUAUACCUAUAGCUUCAGGGGAUCUGAUGCCUUAGGCCUCCUCAAACACCUGCCCUCACACAUAACCCCUAUACAUGUACAUACUACACAUAAUUAAAAAAUAAACAAAUACAAGUUUUAAGGUGGAAAGAGAAAACCAAUUCCUGAAAAUUAACGUCUGACCUCCACAUGUACAGUGGUGCAUGUGUGCACGCCUCCCCCCCUAGCCAUGCACAUCAUAUUGAUAAAAAUUUAAAGAUUAGCCAGGCAAUGGCACAUGCCUUUAAUCGCAGGAGGCAGAGGCAGGCAGAUCUCAAAACAAAAAACAAAAAAAACAAAAACAAAAAAAACCCAAAAAACAACAACAAACAAACAAGCAAACACUAACUCAAAAUUAAAGAUUAAAAUAAACACAAGAGUCAUUGAACUGCCCAGCUAGGAAGUGCAGAGGCAGGUUUGAACCCAGCUCAGAAGAGUUCUCCACUGGCCACCUCUUCCUGGAUUCCUCUACCUCACCCUGCUUGGCCCGGAGGCUCUAAGGAAAAACUGCCACCUGCCCAGUCCUGGUGCUAGUGUGAGUCAGCAGAUAAAUGGGCCACCCUUGCAUCCUUCGUGUGAGACCCAGGGCCCACAGAUGCAGCCCAGCAGCCUGGCUGCAAUUCAGCCAGUGAGGAGAGAGAGGGCCUGGAAGAUUCCUCAGGGACCCUUCAGUCCGAGCCACAUGGGGCCAGACCCCAUAGUGUUCUAUGCACAAGACCAUGUGGCCCAGGAAGGUCUCCAAGGAGAAGCUGGGAUCCUGCCUGCUUGCAAGCACUCAUGGUCCUCCAGCAUCCUGGCUCCUGUCCUUUGGGGUCCUGGCCUGCUCUUCUUCUGUCCUCAAGCCCUGGGGACCUCCGAACACUUGCUGCUUGCCUCCUGGGCACCCCUCUGUAUCCACAAGCAAGAAGACGCAUACCCACACGUGGACCUUGGCAUCUCUGCUUCUCCAGGUGCAGUGUUCUGCCUGCAGGCCAGAAGAGGGCGCCAGAUCUCAUCAUAGAUGACUGUGAACCACCAUGUGGUUGCCAGGAAUUGAACUCAGGACCUCUGGAAGAGCAGCCAGUGCUCAUAAUCUCUGAGCCAUCUCUCCAAAACCUAAAUAAAAUAUUUUUAAAGUGA